GACAGAGGGGGCAAGCGUUGCUCGGAAUCACUGGGCGUAAAGGGCGCGUAGGCGGGAUGGCAAGUUAGUCGUGAAAUCUCUCGGCUCAACCGAGAAACGUCGGCUGAUACUGCCGUUCUUGAGGGAUGCAGAGGAGACUGGAAUUCCCGGUGUAGCGGUGAAAUGUGUAGAGAUCGGGAGGAACACCGGUGGCGAAGGCGGGUCUCUGGGCAUUUCCUGACGCUGAGGCGCGAAAGCUAGGGUAGCAAACGGG
Molecule: ribosomal RNA, 253 nt
Filed under: uncultured bacterium
Lineage: Bacteria
Description: partial 16S ribosomal RNA
Rfam family: Bacterial small subunit ribosomal RNA
Source: RNAcentral